GAUGAACGCUGGCGGCGUGCCUAAUACAUGCAAGUCGAGCGAACAGACGAGAGUGCUUGCACUCUCUGACGUUAGCGGCGGACGGGUGAGUAACACGUGUGUAACCUACCUAUAAGACUGGGAUAACUUCGGGAAACCGGCGCUAAUACCGGAUAAUAUUUAGCUUCGCAUGAAGCAAUAGUGAAAGACGGUUCUGCUGUCACUUAUAGAUGGACCCGCGGUGUAUUAGCUAGUUGGUGAGGUAACGGCUCACCAAGGCAACGAUACAUAGCCGACCUGAGAGGGUGAUCGGCCAGACUGGGACUGAGACACGGCCCAGACUCCUACGGGAGGCAGCAGUAGGGAAUCUUCCGCAAUGGACGAAAGUCUGACGGAGCAAUGCCGCGUGAGUGAAGAAGGUGUUCGGAUCGUAAAACUCUGUUGUAAGGGAAGAACAAGUACGUUAGUAACUGAACGUACCUUGACGGUACCUUACCAGAAAGCCACGGCUAACUACGUG
RNAcentral lists this ribosomal RNA (499 nucleotides) under uncultured bacterium. Its description in RNAcentral is "partial 16S ribosomal RNA". It matches the Rfam family "Bacterial small subunit ribosomal RNA", at positions 28 to 507 of the family's 1533-position model. The record is from RNAcentral.